Molecule: microRNA precursor, 114 nt
Filed under: Mesocricetus auratus (golden hamster)
Lineage: Eukaryota; Metazoa; Chordata; Mammalia; Rodentia; Cricetidae
Description: miRNA (ENSMAUG00000001612.1)
Source: RNAcentral
CUUCAAAGCUUGGGAAGCUACUUACUUCAUAGAUUUUCGAAGAAGGGUCAAACUUUGCUGCUUGAGAGAUGUGGGCCUUGUGUUCCAGAGAAGGCAGGAACUGCAGAAGGGGAA